Non-coding RNA from Podarcis lilfordi (Lilford's wall lizard), 3426 nucleotides. Lineage: Eukaryota; Metazoa; Chordata; Lepidosauria; Squamata; Lacertidae. The record is from the annotation of a GenBank genome assembly.
GGGUAGAAUUCAAUGUCAUGCUAUGGCAAAUGUCCCUUCUGACCCAGUGUGUGCCAACGGAAGCCCCCAUGCAAGACUUGUGCUGACAGUACUUAUUAGGCUAAUCCCAUCCAUUGUGUGUGGGAGGGGGUAGAACUCAGAAUCACCCAAUGAAGACGGGGCAUCUAACUGGGCAUGGAGUGUUGAUGUGCUGCUAUGGGGUAUGGGCAGGGAGAAAAAGAGAAUGGAGCAUCUUCACUCUACACUGCAACACUUUGCUGCAUUUCUCACUUACACCUGUGUGUGUGUGUAUGUAUGUAGAUAGAUUUUCCAGUUUAUUUGCCCAAUAAACAAUGCAGUAUAGAACAGAAAAAGAAUGUUGUGCCACUUAAUAUCAUUUUGCAGGAAGGCAAGCAGUAGGGAGGGUUGUCAUAAGGCCUAUAGCUGGAGUCGAUAUGUUCCUGCAACAGUGGCAUCCAGUAUCUUUGCUCCAGGCCAACCUCAAGAACAGGGAGCUGAAUUCAGGGGUAAGUACUAAGCCUAUUCACCCAGCUCCUCAGAGUCAUCCUCCUAGGCUAUAUUGCUUGUUAAAUUUGCCAUCCCAUGGAGUAGUCCCCCUGUUGCUGAGCUAUUAAAUUACAUGCUUGUUUGGAAAAAAACGAAGUCUCUCAUAUACUACUUCAGAAAUUUGUGCACAGAUCAAAAGCUUGUGCGGCUUCCAAGAGAAGUUAAGUCAUUCAGUGGGGAUCACUUUGUUUUGCACAUCACUCCAGGACCUAACAUUCUGGACGUACCAACAGUAAGAAAGGAGCAACCGUUUUGAGUUCCAGGAGGGAAAGAUAAGGAGCCCCUUUUGUGCUUAUGAUAUGACCUGCUUCUAGCCUUCUUGAGUGCAGUUCUGAGCUUCAAAUGACCACUAUGUGGUGCUAUUAAUGCAAUUACCCAAAUCUUGUUUCCCCCAUUAGCUAGAGGCAGCGGUGGAAGUGAAUUUCUGGUCUUCAGCUGCUGCCUUUGAUCUCUUCAGUUAGUCCCUGAUAAAUUACUCAGAAGCAACGUAGCAGAAAUGGAAAUGCAGAAAGCUGAGUAGUUUUGCAUGUGCCUUAAGGCUUGGUUAUAAUUACGUAUGGGGUGCCUGACUCUCAACAAUCCUGCCCUUGUGCUGUUAGGAGCCAAAGGAAUGGCAGUGCUACUUGGCAUUUAGCAGCCCAGACCCAUCUUAUAUUGUAGGAGAUAAAGGCUUCUUAUUGUAGUAUAUGAGGUGAAAGUCACGGUGAAGACCAGAGGGCUAGUAUUAUCAACUGACUGCAGGAUGGCUUCCCAUACCAACCCCCACCUUCAGUUGUCCUAGCACUCCAGUUGCAAAUUUUACUUGGUUGAAUGUCUCUCACUUUUGCCUUGUUCCUAAAUUGUGCUUGGGCUUGACAGACAGCAAAGCACAUGGCAAGGAAGUAUCUUGGGCUUGAAUUGAUUGAUGGGGAGCCAUUGUGUUCUGUUCACUGUAGUCCAAGUUGCACUGUGGGUGGCAGCCAACCUUACAGUGUUAAUAACCCAAAAACCCAUCAAGUCUCAACACUGGCUUCCUUCCCAAUGGAGAGGCACAUGGAGCAGAUUGCACCACACCCAGAAUUCCCUGGAGCCCUGAUAAAGAGAAGGUUCUUGGCAGCAACUUGGGACUUUGACCUGUUAUAAUAAUUAAACUGAAAUUCAAAUGCAUUCACCAUUUCCAGACAGCAUUAACUGCCAUGCUUGUGUCCAAAUAACCAAGCAGGUUGCAUUAGAAGUGGUUUUAGAUUAUUUACUUCCAUUGUUUGUUUGUUUCUCUCUCUGAGAAACUAAGACCUGGAAGGGCCACCUAAAUGAGCAACAGCACAGUGGGAUGGAAAUGAUGGAAGUAUUGUGCUUUUCAAGCCGUAUUCUCAAUUACAUUAAUUGUGACAGAGACACACUUUUUCUGGUUGCUUGCCCAUCAUUGGUCUUUUAUUUGCUCCCAAGAGUUGUUGAAAUAUGUACAGGAAGUCCAAGUCGCACGUCUCACUUGUUUCCACACAUAACUGCUCUUAAAGUGGAAGCCUUCCAUGAUUAGCUUAAUGUCUGAAAAGUGUAUAAACCCAGUAAUAGACAGCAUGGCAAAUUUGUGAAAAUUCAUUUUGGCAGAGGUGACCAUGUGAGUAGCAAUUGUAUGCUUCAGUUAAUGGGAUAUAAGGCAGCACAAGUGUACACAGAACUCGUGUUACAUUCUUAUGAGCAAUCUCCUCUGAUAUUAGCAUCUAAGAUGGUAUCCUGCUUUCAGGGCCUGAUUGUUUACGUGUCCUGAUAGGGUUGCUUAAAUGUUGACAUGUUUUUUGUCUGCUGACUUUUCAGUUGUUUUAAAAUGCUUUUUAUUGAUAACUUUAAUAUUUCUUGGAAACUGCCUAGAGGUUUUAUUACAACCAAGUGGUAUAUAAUUUUAUUAAAUAAAUAAAUAUUACUUAUUAACUGAAGGACAGAAAAGUAAUAUCAAUUAAAAACCUUUUGCACCUUCAGGUAAUUAGUUAGCCUAAGAUGUUACAGUUAAGUCUUGGUAUUUUCACUCUUUGCAAGAAAUAUGCUAAUGCAAAGAGACGGCGCCCAGUUAUUGAAGUGACUGAAUGUCAAGCAAAAAUGGUUUGGGAGUUGUCUCUACUGUAUGCUUUUUGUAACCUUCCAGGGCCUCUCGCCAUCCUUCCAUGUCACAAGCAUUAGAAUCUGUCAAAUUAUCUACAGUGAAAUGGAAAAUGAUGUGACAACCUAGCUUAACGUAAGCCUGGGAGGAUUUGCCGACAGCUACAGGUAGGCAAGGGACCAUGACUCCUUUUAGAGUUGAAAGAUGCUGAAUUGAUAGCUUCUCUUUUUUUAAAAAAAGGCAAGCUGUCUUGGAAACCCCUGAACUAUCCAUUUAGCUGUCUUGCAUUCUGAUAUUGUUAGUGUCUGUGGCCCCACUGUCUGUGUCAUAUGUAGAGGAGUUAGGACUCUUGCGCAGGAGCAGAGUGUAGUGAUACAAGUGGUAAAGUCACUCUUGUUAGUGUACUUUGCAGUGGUGGAACCAGAAUAUAGUCUUUUCAGCUCUCAUUGUUGACAUGGUAAAUAAACAUUGAGUUUGGAGGAUAUGUUGGAUCCCCUUUUGGGGCUAAUUCCUGCUAAUUUUCCAUACUGGCUUUGCACAUAACACCUUUGUGCGUGAGAGUAGAGUGAAAAGGUGGUUUACUCUGCAUUGGCAACACUAAGCAGUAUGGGUUGCUUCACAAAUUUCAGAUAUUGAACACUAGCCAACAUUUUGCUUAUCACCCUUCUCAGGUACAGCCUGUGUACAUUUCCCAGUAGUCAGUUUAUUAGCAGGCUACUGUGUGUCAUUCAUAUCCCAUUUCGUUCAAAAACAGAUGGUUGUGUAUGCAGAUCCACAACAAUCCCUCAUUCUGAUAAUUCUCUUCC